UAGAAGCAUCUCUCAAACCCUCUUUCUCUCACAUGGCUCUCUUUUCUUUCCUGUUCUCGUCCUUUCCUUCGCUCCAACCCAUUUCACAUUUUCUUUCUCAAACCCUCGUCCUUCCCGUUCUCGUCCUUUCUGCCGCUUCAACCCAUUUCACAUUUUCUUUCCUGUUAAUCUUCCUCUCUCCAUGCGAUAUCUUUCUUUCUCAAUUGAAAUCUUAAAAUAAAUUUCCUCUAUGCUAGAUGGUUCGUUGGCGGGUCAGAUCGCAGGUUCAAAAACCAGUUCGAUAAUGGAGGAAGGGCUUGGGAUAGCUUUGCUUGGUCCAAAAGCUCAAGGUCCACCGCUCCAAGUCUUAAAGUAUGGCCUCAUGAUCUUGAACAACCUCAAAAAAUAUCUAGUCUCAGCAUGGAAGGUGAGUGUUUGAGCUUCGGAUUGUUGGUAAUUCCACCUGGGAUUUUGUUAGUUCAAUUGGGUUGUGGGGAUAUUACCAUCGGAGGUAGACUGGAUAUCAUCAUCGAGAGAGGCAUCUGGCACCGCCGUGGACAGAGAGGGUUGGUGCAAUCUUGCCUGCUGCAUCACCGCCUCGACUCUCACGGAUUUCGAAACAGCUUAGCUAAAAAAAAUGGAAGAUGAUAAAAGCAUCUUGUGUGAUUGUAAAUGGGGGUCAUUUUAGGUCAUGAAAGUUUCAUUAAAGCCCUAAACGCCUCUUAGAAAAGAGGUUUGCACAGAAGUUGAAAAGUCAAUUUUUCAGAGCUACCUUUUGCUGCUUCUGUUUUUUGGCUUUUUUUCAUUCAAAUCUGUGGAAAAAAAUUGAAGUUGAAAGUUUACCACACAUAAAAAAGUUCCCAACUCUUUUUGAUACCCACUUUUUUUAAAAUCACCUUAAUACCAAACCAGGGAUUAGUCUUAAGCGUUUGAUUUAAAUUUCUUUAGAAUUAUUGUCAUUGUUUUUUAUCCCUGCUGUUGUUUUUUAUUUUUGAUUUUUAUGCGUUGUUCAUCUGUGUAGGCACUCCAAUUAGUUUUUGGAGUGCAUCUUGAUCAGACCACCACAAAAGAGAAAACGGAAACAAAAUUCAGAGCCAUCAAAACAAACAAAUGCUAGUCUGUCCUAAAAAAGGUUGGUUUGUGUACUUUUGAAGAAUAUAUGGAAAAAGAGAGUAUUGAUAAUGGUGUAGAAUCUGAUGGUGAUGUGGUUGAAAAAGAUAAAAUGUUGCAUGAAAAGAUCUCGGAACUCAUUGACGAAAUAUGCAGCGUGAGCUGAGUUGAUAAGGAGAAACAAGGAGAAGUGUGAAACAAUUGAGUGGCCUUUGUCCCAUGUGCAUAAGCGAACGGAUGAGAACAAAAUUUUGAGGAUUCAUCUGGGAAUCCAUAAGGAUACUACUGAUCAUACAAUUCCAAUCCAUAAGAAUGCUACUGAACAUACAAUUACAAGGCAAAACAAGCCUCAGUUUUCAAGGUCUAAGUCCACGGGGCCAUCUUUCCUUGGAAGGCUCACUGGAUGCACUGGCACCUGAUCUUAAUUAGCAACUUUUCAACUUAAUUAGAAAUGGAACUGAAUGCUUCGUUAUUUUGAUCUUGCAUCUGAAGCCGAGUCUGGAUUAAGAGAAAGAUCUCAUGGCAGGAAUCAUGGACUUGAGGAAGGUGAGGUUAACGAAGUGUGCUUUAGCACCAAGAUUGAGUUUUGUUUUUUUACGAUUUUUCUAUAAUCUAGAUGCUGAAAUACUUGGAGUUGGAAUUAAUAAGAAUCGAUUGAAACAUGGAUUUUUUAUUAGAUUGGUAUGGCUGACAUAGUAGUUUAAGAUGCACUGCAGUGAUUAGGGAAUUUCUUUAACUGAACAUAUUUGUUUUCAUGAGGUAGGUAGAAUCCUCUGUAAUUUAAUUAAUUAGAUUGAAAUUUGGAGCCAUGUCUGGAGUCUUACACUAUGGUGGUUAAUGUGGUUUUUAGGUGAUUUUUUCAAGUGGGGAAAAAGAGG
Pyrus x bretschneideri (Chinese white pear) is the source of this 1967-nucleotide long non-coding RNA. RefSeq lists it as uncharacterized. The record is from RefSeq and is a predicted model, not a curated record. Lineage: Eukaryota; Viridiplantae; Streptophyta; Magnoliopsida; Rosales; Rosaceae. The transcript is spliced from 2 exons.